UGUAUGUUUAUAACUGACUGUCAAGUGUUAGCGAUUACAAAGUUAAAAAAUUGCGGUUGGAAAUUUGAAUCCGUCAUUGGAUUUUUUUUGCUUGAAUGGUACGGAAAUCUUCAUGCGCGAGUCCGACUUGCACUUGACUGGAAGGUCAAGAAAGAGAUGCUACGAUUGAGAACGUCAAGAAAAAAAUUAAUUCAUUAAGGGCUGGGUUCCGAAAAGAAUAUAAAAAAGUGCAAGAUAGCAAGACGACAGGUUCAGGAACUGACCGGGUAUACGUGCCAAAAUUAUGGUAUUACAAUCAGCUUGAAUUUCUCAAAGAUCAAGGCCAAGGUGAACAAUCAACUGACAAUAUAGACAGCAGCGAACAGGAGACAGCUAAUGAUAAUGAAAAUACAUUUGAUGCUGAACACAGUGAAAAUGAUACCCAGAGUACCAUUUGCAACGUGUUAUCACGGCAAUGGCCGCCAUUGAAGACACAAUAUCGUUAAUAGGUAAAAGAUUACAAAACCCCGAUGAUGAAUAUGAUGCUAUAGGAAAAAAAUGUCGCAAUUAAACUCCGCAACAUGACUGCUAUUCAACAAGGCAUAGCUGAAAAGCUCAUCAAUGAAGUUAUUUUUUUGGGACGGUUUGAAAAAUUAACAUUCAAUACAAGUAUACA
Long non-coding RNA from Pieris rapae (cabbage white), 655 nucleotides. RefSeq lists it as uncharacterized. The record is from RefSeq and is a predicted model, not a curated record. Lineage: Eukaryota; Metazoa; Arthropoda; Insecta; Lepidoptera; Pieridae. The transcript is spliced from 3 exons.